RNAcentral lists this ribosomal RNA (253 nucleotides) under uncultured bacterium. Its description in RNAcentral is "partial 16S ribosomal RNA". It matches the Rfam family "Bacterial small subunit ribosomal RNA", at positions 524 to 776 of the family's 1533-position model. The record is from RNAcentral.
UACGUAGGGGGCAAGCGUUGUCCGGAAUCAUUGGGCGUAAAGGGCGCGUAGGCGGCCCGCUAAGUCGAACGUGAAAUCCCCGAGCUCAACUCGGGAACUGCGUCCGAUACUGGCGGGCUUGAAUCCGGGAGAGGGAUGCGGAAUUCCAGGUGUAGCGGUGAAAUGCGUAGAUAUCUGGAGGAACACCGGUGGCGAAGGCGGCAUCCUGGACCGGCAUUGACGCUGAGGCGCGAAAGCUAGGGGAGCAAACGGG